Molecule: ribosomal RNA, 429 nt
Filed under: Chloroflexota bacterium
Lineage: Bacteria; Bacillati; Chloroflexota
Description: Chloroflexi bacterium partial 16S ribosomal RNA
Rfam family: Bacterial small subunit ribosomal RNA
Source: RNAcentral
UGGGGAAUAUUGCACAAUGGGCGCAAGCCUGAUGCAGCCAUGCCGCGUGUGUGAAGAAGGCCUUCGGGUUGUAAAGCACUUUCAGCGGGGAGGAAGGCGAUAAGGUUAAUAACCUUGUCGAUUGACGUUACCCGCAGAAGAAGCACCGGCUAACUCCGUGCCAGCAGCCGCGGUAAUACGGAGGGUGCAAGCGUUAAUCGGAAUUACUGGGCGUAAAGCGCACGCAGGCGGUCUUUCAAGUCGGAUGUGAAAUCCCCGGGCUCAACCUGGGAACUGCAUUCGAAACUUGCAGGCUAGAGUCUUUUAGAGGGGGGUAGAAUUCCAGGUGUAGCGGUGAAAUGCGUCGAGAUCUGGAGGAAUACCGGUGGCGAAGGCGGCCCCCUGGACAAAGACUGACGCUCAGGUGCGAAAGCGUGGGGAGCAAACAGG